CUUCUUCUGCUAAUAUCGUGUUUGGUGAGCAUUGAUUCAGAGCAUGCGUCUUUGGACUUUUGUCUGACGGACUUGUGUCCGCAGAAAACUUUAAGCUUGCCAUCCAACAUUUGUCCGUGGAAAAUCCGUCAACAAUUGUCCAAUGGCGCAUACAAACGGUUGGAUUUUUGGCCAACAAGCUGUCAACACACAAUCCCCGUCAGAAAAUCCGAUCAUGUGUACGAGGCUUCAGAAUGAAGUCCCAGCAGCAUCGCCCGGUCACCGCUCAGGGGGAUGACUUGUUUCUCCCGGCACUACUUUGGGUUUGCGGGCUUCGGCGAUGUGAGUGGUCGGAGCUGUGAUGACGUCACUCCUGCGCAUGCUCGCGGGAGCCCUCUGUUCUGGCAAGAAGCUCUGAAGUUCCGGGACGAUACGCCAGACGUUCAGAGCAACCGUGCCAUUGAUGUCAGCGGCUGCAUGCAGGGUGAAUAUUCCUCAUUUACAAUCUUCUAGAUGGUAAGCUCUAACGAGCAGGGCCCUCUGAUCCCUCCUGUAUUGUAACUGUACUGUCUUCCCUGAUGUAAAGCGCUGCGCGAACUGUUGGCGCUCUAUAAAUCCUGUAUAAUAAUAAUUUAAUGGGGCUUUGAUGCAAGGUUUUCCCUACUGGUGAAAAUUGGUAUUACAUCUUUAGUCAGCUGACUGAUCACAAUACUUUGAUAUCCUACCAGGGUGGGGUUUGGUCUGCCGAGGGAAAUAGUGCAUUCAGGAGUCCGGUAAUUUUUUUACUAGAGGAUUACUAUUGUGAGGGCUCCAAAAUAUAUACAAAAAAGUGAACCAUGUCAAAUCCCCUUCAGUGUUGAAGUUUUCCAGCAACCUUUUUUUUUUCUUCGCCAGAAAAUGCCGUUCUUUAAGAAAAUGAAUUCCUGCUGAAUCUUGUUUUGUAAAUAAUAAUUUAAAAGAUUUCUAAUAUUUUUCCUGAAGCUAGGUUGUGCAAAGAUGUUUGCUGUGUCAACAAUCUGAUCUUGUAACAGGUGUAAAAUGUUUCCUUUUAUUUUUACACUCUCUAAAUAGAUGUAAUGUAACUUUAUUCUUCCUCCUCUUUUAAAACGUGUCCUGGAAGGACAUGUAGAUGCUGAUUGGUGGCAAAGAUGACACUCCUUGUAGAAGACUUACAGGCGAGGACACCAUAGCUAAAAAUGAUCAUCUCUUUCUAGAGAUUCUGCAAUUAACAAAUCAAUUUCCGUUAUGAAAGUGGCAUUUUAUUAUUUACAUUCUUCAACUCUUUCAUUGGAGAGCAGGGGGCUAUAUGAGGUCUAACGUCUUAUAUGAGGUCUAACGUCUUAUAUGAGACCAGGUUCAGACAAUGUGGUUUUAGAGCAGGUGCUUACAGAACAUAGUGAACCUCUAUGAUGGCAAAUGAUCUGUACAUGUCGGCAGAGCUGGUUUCAGAUCUAUGCUCAGGCUGCAUACAGCCUUCAGGGCUCUCAUGAAAGUUAUUGAAUGGAUGUUUGUAAAUCACGGGUACAGGGGAAGAGUUGGUACUUUCUGAUGAGCCUCUAUCCCUUACAGCUGAAUCACUGCUGUACUCCUAAUAUCAGACAUUUUUCAGAUCGAUAUGUUACUUUCACCAAGGUGUUGAGGAGAUUUGUGUAUAUUUGUAAUUUAUAAGAUUGUAAGUAUGAGGAAAAACAAAUAUUUUAACAGGAAGAGCGGUAAGCCUGUGUUCUGUGUUGCUCUUCUGUAAGAUAUGUACAUUAUGGGGAAAUUCUCAGUGCAUGCUGGGUAAUAUUUCCCAGGCUGCACUGCCCUGUGGAGAGCAUGUCUCAUAUUCACUUUGUUGGUUGGUUUUUGGGAACAUGUCUCUGUUAUCGUUCUCUUACCACUCAUGUUUUGUCAUUAAACUGUUGGAGUGAUUGUCUAUUUA
Long non-coding RNA from Rana temporaria (common frog), 1903 nucleotides. RefSeq lists it as uncharacterized. The record is from RefSeq and is a predicted model, not a curated record. NCBI's taxonomy places the organism in Eukaryota, Metazoa, Chordata, Amphibia, Anura, Ranidae. The transcript is spliced from 2 exons.